Amphimedon queenslandica is the source of this 852-nucleotide long non-coding RNA. RefSeq lists it as uncharacterized. Lineage: Eukaryota; Metazoa; Porifera; Demospongiae; Haplosclerida; Niphatidae. The transcript is spliced from 4 exons. The record is from RefSeq and is a predicted model, not a curated record.
UCAUCUUACUUGGGGCAAUUAGUAGAUCAGACUGGCCCAAUCAAUGCUAAUAAACUAAGAAACAUUGCAUUUAUGAUUCACGAAAAGAAGUUAAGUUUAACUAAAAAUUUAACUUAAACAAUUUUUUGUAUCAUUUUAAUUGAAAUAAUAUGCAAUGAAUACAUGAUUUGUUAUGUAGUUAUAAAAUCUAUGUUUUACGACCCUAUCUGCUUUUCUCUGCACAAACUCUUUCUCGUCUUAGUGGGCUUUGCCCGAUAAUCAGGUACUUCUUUUAGGACCUAUUUGUUGAAUUUGAAUCACAGAUGCAAUUAAAUUAGCAUUAGGAGUUGCAGAUAUCAACCAAUGAAACAGGUUUUGACUUCUUUUUAUUUGAAGCAAUACAACAAAUAAUGCAGCAGACUAUAUAAACUAUCAUUGGUAUUAAAAUACCGCCUACUGUACCUUCAAUAGCACCAAUACCUAAAAACAGUGUCACUAGUAUUACAGAGUCCUAGUGUAGCAGUAUUGGUGUAUGAUGAAGAAUAUGCUAUUUAUAUAUUACAAUUAAAAUGUCAAUGGAGUGAAAUUAAUCAGAACUGACUUACAACAAGAAACAGUUACAUCCUCAGAAUGUGAACACGAUGUAACACUGGAGCUAGGACAAGAAUUCCUUGAAUUGAAGCAGGUACUUGAUGAACUACUUGAAAAAUGUGUAGACCAUAUUGGCUGACUGGAACUACCAGGACUAUAAUAAAAAUAAGACUAAUGACAUUAAAGCAAGAUUAUGACAUCUUACAGUGACAAAUGAUCAUAUCUUGAAUAAUAAGAAUAUCCCAACUGCUUGCAUACGGUCCUGGCAUCAGUUGAACUAAA